AGAGUUUGAUCCUGGCUCAGAAUGAACGCUGGCGGCGCGCCUAACACAUGCAAGUCGAGCGAGGCCGCGGGGCAACCCGCGAGUCGAGCGGCGAACGGGUGAGUAACGCGUGGGUAACCUACCCUGGAGUGGGGGAUAGCUCCGCGAAAGUGGGGGUAAUACCGCAUAUGCGCGUCGGGUCAUAAGGCCUGACGUGCAAAGGCUGGGAUCUUCGGACCAGUCGCUCCUGGAUGGGCCCGCGUUCGAUUAGCUUGUUGGUAGGGUAACGGCCUACCAAGGCUACGAUCGAUAGCCGGCCUGAGAGGGUGAUCGGCCACAUUGGGACUGAGACACGGCCCAGACUCCUACGGGAGGCAGCAGUGGGGAAUAUUGGGCAAUGGGCGCAAGCCUGACCCAGCGACGCCGCGUGGGGGAUGAAGGCCUUCGGGUUGUAAACCCCUGUCAGGGGAGACGAAAGUCCUGCGCCGAACAGGCGCAGGAUCUGACGGUACCCCCAAAGGAAGCCCCGGGCUAACUCCGUGCCAGCAGCCGCGGUAAUACGGAGGGGGCGAGCGUUAUUCGGAAUUACUGGGCGUAAAGCGCGCGCAGGUGGCGUGGUAAGUGGUUGGUGAAAGCCCUCGGCUCAACCGAGGAAUUGCCUGCCAAACUACUGCGCUUGAGGCCGGGAGGGGAGAGCGGAAUUUCCUGGUGUAGCGGUGAAAUGCGUAGAUACCAGGAGGAACACCGGUGGCGAAAGGCGGCUCUCUGGACCGGUUCUGACGCUCAUGCGCGAAAGCGUGGGGAGCAAACAGGAUUAGAUA
Molecule: ribosomal RNA, 800 nt
Filed under: uncultured bacterium
Lineage: Bacteria
Description: bacterial SSU rRNA
Rfam family: Bacterial small subunit ribosomal RNA
Source: RNAcentral